UACGAAGGGGGCUAGCGUUGCUCGGAUUCAUUGGGCGUAAAGGGUGCGUAGGCGGCGCGGUAAGUCGGGUGUGAAAUCUUGGAGCUUAACUCCGAAACUGCAUUCGAUACUGCUGUGCUUGAGGACUGGAGAGGAGACUGGAAUUUACGGUGUAGCGGUGAAAUGCGUAGAUAUCGUAAGGAAGACCAGUGGCGAAGGCGGGUCUCUGGACAGUUCCUGACGCUGAGGCACGAAGGCCAGGGGAGCAAACGGG
This 253-nucleotide ribosomal RNA is filed under the name uncultured bacterium. Its description in RNAcentral is "partial 16S ribosomal RNA". It matches the Rfam family "Bacterial small subunit ribosomal RNA", at positions 524 to 776 of the family's 1533-position model. The record is from RNAcentral.